Molecule: ribosomal RNA, 324 nt
Filed under: uncultured eukaryote
Lineage: Eukaryota
Description: partial 18S ribosomal RNA
Rfam family: Eukaryotic small subunit ribosomal RNA
Source: RNAcentral
CCCUUAGAUGUUCUGGGCCGCACGCGCGCUACACUGAUGCAUUCAACGAGUUUCUUCCUGGUCCGAGAGGAAUGGGUAACCUUUUGAAAGUGCAUCGUGAUAGGGAUAGACUAUUGCAAUUAUUGGUCUUCAACGAGGAAUUCCUAGUAGACGUAGUUCAUCAGACUGCAUCGAUUACGUCCCUGCCCUUUGUACACACCGCCCGUCGCUCCUACCGAUUGAAUGCUCAGGUGAGCCAUUCGGACUUUCAUCCUGCUGGUUUCCAGUUUUGAUGAAGGAAAGUCUUGCGAACCUUAUCAUUUAGAGGAAGGAGAAGUCGUAACA